Myxocyprinus asiaticus (Chinese sucker) is the source of this 956-nucleotide long non-coding RNA. RefSeq lists it as uncharacterized. The transcript has 2 exons. Lineage: Eukaryota; Metazoa; Chordata; Actinopteri; Cypriniformes; Catostomidae. The record is from RefSeq and is a predicted model, not a curated record.
UCACUCUAUCUCUCUCUCUCUUUUUCUUUUUGCUGCAGUGAUAGCUUGUGUCCAGUUGCUGUUGGCUACCAAGACAGUGCACACCUUCGAGCAAAACAGACCCAGGGACCUCCACUGAGACUCUCAGUCAACCCAGAUCCAUAACUGUCAGUGGUUUGCAAACUUUGGUUUUAUGAAAAGUGAGAAUACGAGGGUCUGUGAGAGGAGGAGACUGAACCAGAUGUCUCCAUUUGCUCUCAAUUUAAUCUCAUUGCUUUCAAGGAGAUACAGUUGAGAUAAUAUGGAAAUCUAAUUGCGAUUUGUCUUUCCAAUGGGACCAACAACUCUCUCUGCAGUAUCUGUAUAUCUGUCAAAUCCACAUUAUACUCUCAAUGCAUGUUAGUCUGCAAUAUGUAACAUGCUUAUAAUAUGCAAUGGCUUAUUCUGUGUUUAUUGUAAAUCAAAUCAACACAAUGUUGUUUCUGUAAAUGAAAUGUGACAAGACUAAAGGUCAGUUUGCAUCGGUGCACACUGCUUUUCAAUUGUUUUUCUAUGUAAACAUGCGUUAGACAGAGAUCUUUGACCUUUGAUCUUUGACUGUUUUUUUCUCGCUGCCGCGUUUUUUAGACGCCACGUCAAUCAAAAAGAACUUACUGGAAAUACUGUUAAAAACGUGUCUCGAGACACUGGCUUUGAAAUGAAGUGUUGCAUAAACCUGCAUUAAAUGUCUAGCUAUGACUCAUAAUGUGCUGCUUCACAGUCCCUUUGCAUACAACAAUAUCCUCACCAUUAAAAUGACCACAGAAGGGUUGUAUUCUCAUUCCCACUUUGUGAUUAUGCAUGUUUGUGUCUGCAGUUAACUCAUUGUAAUUUGACAUUACAGACAUUUUUGUGCAUGCUAAGCCACUAAUUUACAUCUCAUUAUAGACAAGAAUGCUCGUUAAAAAAAUAAUAAUAAAAAAAGAGUUUCCAAUUGA